Prionailurus viverrinus (fishing cat) is the source of this 85-nucleotide non-coding RNA. The record is from the annotation of a RefSeq genome assembly. NCBI's taxonomy places the organism in Eukaryota, Metazoa, Chordata, Mammalia, Carnivora, Felidae.
GCCUGGGUGGCUCAGUCGGUUAAGCGUCUGACUUCGGCUCAGGUCAUGAUCUCGAGGUUCGUGGGUUCAAACCCCACGUCGGGCU